This is a non-coding RNA of Oryzias latipes (Japanese medaka), 1605 nucleotides long. The record is from RefSeq and is a predicted model, not a curated record. NCBI's taxonomy places the organism in Eukaryota, Metazoa, Chordata, Actinopteri, Beloniformes, Adrianichthyidae.
UUUUUGUCCUUUGUUUGUUGUGCAGAAUUGCAAACCUAGAAAGAAAUCAAGUUGAAAGAAUUUAUAUAAAUUAAUUUGCCCUUCUUUUGACCCUUCUACAUCAUGAAUAUUUGGUGGCUGUUGCUUGGCGACUGUGAGAUCUCUCCAUAGGAUUGACAUGGGCUGGGCCUCUCAAUGACCUUGAUAUGAUUGUUCUUCAGCCAUUCCUUGGUUGCCUUGGCUGUAGGUUCUAGGUCACUAACCUGUUGGAAGACCCAUCCAUGACUGAUUUGAAGGGUCCUGGCUUAAGGAGGGUAGGAAGUUCUCACUCAGGAUUUUCCAUUAAUGGCUCCAUCAACGUGGUGACGUAGCUCUGUGCAGAAAAAUAGCCACAAAGCAUAAUGCUUCCACCUCCAUGUUUGACAGUGGGGAAGCUGUUCUUGGGGUCAUAGGUAGCAAUUCUCUUCCUCCAAACCCAAUGGUUGAGUUGAUGCCAAAGAGCUCAGUUUUGAGCCAAACAUUCCAUUAUGCAGAAUAAACUCAUAAAGCAAACCCUAUUUUUCAGUGUGUGAUUUUCAUUUUUUCAUAAAUCUUAGGACAAUUUAGAUGAUAAAAGUAAUAAAUAUAUGAAAACAGUAUAAUACAGUAAAUAUGUAAAUAUUUGAUGUGAUGAACAAUGCUUAUCUGAUUUAGACCCAACAUGGAAUAUUUUAUGACAGACACACAUCAAGUUGUGUUAUUUAAUGCUAGUAAUUUAGACACAAAUGAUAGAAAUGUUAGGUUUAUAUGUCAAAGAGGCCAUGUGAAAAUUUUAGUGCAAAUACGCAUGCGUGCGCGCCGUGCACAUUAAGCCACCCCACCCCCACGUAUCCGCGCGCCGGUCGGGGGGUGUUGGGCGUCAAUAAAGGUAAUCUGGUUGUCGCGCGUUCUGCAUCUCUGCACGAGCUAAAGAAGUCUCAAAGAUGAAUGCCGCUGUUGUUAUCACUGUGACGGAAGAGCGGUGCUGAAAAAUACGGCCUCCAUCGAGAGACUGAACGUAACACGACUGCAGCUGACUCUGCCACGAGGCUCGACAACUUCUUGCAUCAACUGUGAUCGCUGUGGCCGCCAAAACAUCCAAAUGUAAGGCGGGCUACAAAGAUUUCAGGCCAAAAGAGAACGCCUCACAUGUGAUGAAGUGUCUGUAUUGGUUGGAAAAACCAGCAGCCCUCCAGUGCUUCAGCCGUCCAACCAUCAACCGUUUCAGACAUCCAUCCUCUCGCCACUUCAGCCCCACAGCCGUCCACCAGUGUCCCAACUCCUGACAUUUUACUAUCCUGGUACAAUCUUAUUUUUCUGCACAGUUAGCAAAAAUGAUAUGUUUUUUAAGAAAUUCCUGUGUUUUUUUAUCAUCAACAAAUGUUUCUCCAAAGAAAUGUGAAACUACAGAAUUAUUCAUCUGGUGGUUAUUUUUACACUUUUCCUCAAAUCUUUAAUAAGAAAGAAAUAAUUCAGUUCAAGUUUACUUUAGCUUUUCUUUUUAAUGGGCAUUACAGUUGAUAUAAAACAUAUAACAUGCAAUUAAAAUGCUUUGUAGUUAAAAACAUUUUACACACUAUUAAAAGAUUCUAUAAAAUAUUAUUUAAA